This is a long non-coding RNA of Xenopus laevis (African clawed frog), 289 nucleotides long. RefSeq lists it as uncharacterized. The transcript has 2 exons. The record is from RefSeq and is a predicted model, not a curated record. Lineage: Eukaryota; Metazoa; Chordata; Amphibia; Anura; Pipidae.
GGGCAGAGGAGGGCCGCUGGGAGUGACACGUGGGAUUCUGGGCGCUUCUCUGUUCUCCGCAUGUAACCGACUCACCCCAAGUAAAAGUCACACGGAAGGAAGAUGAAUUCGAUUACUGAUUAGAGAUUUCCUUAAUACAAAAUGCUAUUGUGCUCACGCACCUUCUGUCAACAUAUCUGGACCCUGGAAGGCCAUGAUUACUAACCUAGAUGAUAAGCUGCACACGUCUGGAGUUGAUAUAAGAUUGUAAGCUCUUUGGGCAACUAAUAAAAAAUGCUAUUGUGCUGGC